Molecule: ribosomal RNA, 491 nt
Filed under: uncultured bacterium
Lineage: Bacteria
Description: partial 16S ribosomal RNA
Rfam family: Bacterial small subunit ribosomal RNA
Source: RNAcentral
GGGGGGGGGGGGGGGGGGGGGGGGGGGGGGGGGGUCGGGGGGCGGGGGGGGGGGGGCGUGCGCGUGCGGGGGGCGAGUGGCGGGCGGGGGGGGAAUGCAUCGGCAUCUACUUUUUCGUGGGGGAUUACGUAGGGAAACUUACGCUCAUACCGCAUACGACCUACGGGUGGAAGCAGGGGGUCUUCGGACCUUGCGCGCUUGAAUGAGCCGAUGUCGGCUUAGCUAGUUGGCGGGGUAAAGGCCCCCCACGGCGACGAUCCGUCGCUGGUCUGAGUGGCUGAUCGGCCACACUGGACCUGAGAGUCUGGCCAGACUCCUACGGGAGGCAGCAGUGGGGAAUAUUGGACACUGGGCGCAAGCCUGAUCCAGCCAUACCGCGUGGGUGAAGAAGGCCUUCGGGUUGUAAAGCCCUUUUGUUAGGAAAGAAAAGCAGCAGGUUAAGACCCCGCUGUUCUGACGGGACCCAAAGAAUAAGCACCGGCGAACUUCGU